AUGGUGGGUGCAGUGGGGCAGCUUGGCAGGAGCACCCACACCCAAGCAGCUGAGGGGUGCAACACACCGCAGACACCCCCCCACAACUCCCUCCCAGCUGCCAGCAGAGCCGGGGGACAAGGGGGAACUGGGUGGCUCUGGAACGGUCACGGGGGGCUGGGGGGGCUGGGGGACCCUGGCCCCACAGGGGCUCUGGGGGUGCGUGGUUUUGCUUGGCAUCGCACUCCCUUCUCACACCCGGGGGUCCCCCAGGCUGGGGUUUGUGGUGCUGGGUGUUUUGGGAGGGGGUGGGGUGUGUGCUCCCAUGGUCCCCAUCCCACCCUCAGAGACCGUCCCCCGGAAAACACAGGGUUAACGGUCAGCACCGGGGAGAUGGGCCUAAAUCUGGGGCUUAUUUGUGCCAAAAAAGACAUGAGGAAGCGGAAGAGGAGUUGUUCCCACGCUGGGGUGGCCGGGGGGGUCCCGUCGAGCCCCGUGGGGAGGAGACAUCCCGAGCUGGAUGUGGCCUCUGGGGCUGGGAGACACUGGGAGACGCUGGGAGAUGCUGGGUGCUGCAAACUGGGGGGCAGAUUGGGGCAGAUUUGGGGGGAUUUGUGCCGUGGGAGCCAGGGGAGCCAAGCCCCGGUGUGGGGAGCAUCACUGGUCCUUGCCCCCCUGCAUCCCCAGCUCCCCCAUCCCGGUUUUGGGGGCACCACUGGGAUGAAGAGCCCCCUCUCCAUCCCCUCUUCAUCUCCUCCAUCCCCUUCAUCCCCUCCAUCCCCUCCAUCCCCUCCAUCCCCAGGGAGGGGGGUUUCUCAGCCACCACCACGGAGGCCAAGCCCGGCCGAUCCCGCCUCAAACCCUCCCACCAACCGGCGAAAUAAGGAUGAGGAUAGUAAUAAUAAAAAAUCAAUAAACAUUUAUUCGAUACAGCUGUUUUUAAUACAUACAGUACAUGGAGUUACCCCUCCGCGGUGCUCGGCGGCGCGGCUGAUCAGAGCUGCUGUUACAGUACUCUCCAACUGA
This 1005-nucleotide long non-coding RNA is filed under the name Calidris pugnax (ruff). RNAcentral describes it as "lncRNA (ENSCPUG00000006718.1)". The record is from RNAcentral. Lineage: Eukaryota; Metazoa; Chordata; Aves; Charadriiformes; Scolopacidae.